CGAGCAACCCGAGAACGCCCAGUGUGUGUCUAUGUGUUUACGCAACGGAUCGUCCCGUUUGGAUAUUGUUUUUGAUUCUAGGUGGGAGAAAAAAAAGAAAAAAUCUCUAUAGCAAGAUCAGCAAAUGUCAAAGACGGAUGCUUUGUUCGAUUAAUAACUUCGAGUGAUCGUGGAUGAAAUGGAAUGAUUGUAUCGCACCGCGAUACUGGCCUCGGCACGGUGACGAGUCUUUGUCCAGGCCGCUUAUAAAACGAUGGCGUCAUCAUCGAUUCCUUGGACCGCGCUACAACGGAACCCGCCAGCCAUUAUUACUGAUCGUCACCCUCCGAAACUAAUUCGCCGUCAGAUGGUGAUUCAUAAUAGUUUGAAAAUUGUGCUUUUUCUAUGAAAGAAGAAACAGCGAAGGUCAGCAAUUUAUUUGCAUUACUUGGUUAACCUGGAGUUUAUUAUUAGUAGGAGUAGUAGAAUUCAUCGUUACACGGUCGGCA
Long non-coding RNA from Anopheles arabiensis, 488 nucleotides. RefSeq lists it as uncharacterized. The record is from RefSeq and is a predicted model, not a curated record. The transcript is spliced from 3 exons. NCBI's taxonomy places the organism in Eukaryota, Metazoa, Arthropoda, Insecta, Diptera, Culicidae.